This 504-nucleotide long non-coding RNA is filed under the name Trifolium pratense (red clover). Its description in RNAcentral is "long non-coding RNA (TPRA_LNC010979)". The record is from RNAcentral. Lineage: Eukaryota; Viridiplantae; Streptophyta; Magnoliopsida; Fabales; Fabaceae.
UCCGAUAUGUGAGCACAAAUUAUUGUUCUCUAUAACAAUCCUUAUGGUUGCAUAUUUUCAACAAAUUCAAAUUAUGAAUUGCUCAAGUAUCUGCCAAAUGAUCUUAUUAUAUAAGCUAUUUCCGGAUGCAUAUAAAUAAGAUCAUACAUAAGUUUCUCAAAGCUGAAGCAUAUAGGAAAAUACUUUGUUUUCUAAAUUUCCAGAUUUUUCUUUUGAACAAUGAUUGAGACUAGUUAGUCUCCCUUUAUAAUUAAGGCAAUUCCUUAGUUUAUUGACUUUCAUGUCGAAUUUAAUUUCAACUUUAUUGAUACGACUCUUUUGUUAUACCCAAAUUAUACAUUGAGAAUAAUCUCUAAGUAUCAAUGCCUAAUACAAAAGAGAAGUGCCCAAGAUCUUUUGUCACUAAACUUUUGUUAGUGAUUUCUUGAUUUUGCACAACAAUCAUAUAUCAUUAUUGACUAAAUAAAAUAAAUUCGACACAUUAAAUUUAGAAUAUAAACAUAC